GUGCUAACUGCUCGCUCAUCAGAUACCACAAAGGGUGUUGGUCGAUCUUAACAGCAGGACGGUGGUCAUGGAAGUCGAAAUCCGCUAAGGAGUGUGUAACAACUCACCUGCCGAAUCGACUAGCCCCGAAAAUGGAUAGCGCUGAAGCGAGUGACCGAUACCGGGCCAUUGUUGCAAGAUAAUUGGCAACAAUGAGUAGGAGGGCGUGGGGGUUGUGAAGAAGCUUGGACGUGAGUCUGAGUGAAACAGCUUCCAGUGCAGAUCUUGGUGGUAGUAGCAAGUAUUCAAUAAGAGAACAUUGAAGGCCGAAGUGGGGAAGGGUUCCAUGUGAACAGCACUUGGACAUGGGUUAGCCGAUCAAAAAUACAUCAAAAAGUAAUUCUAGAGCUAAUACAUGCGUCAAGGCCCGACUUCGGAAGGGCUGCGUUUAUUAGAUACAGAACCAACCUAGGCUCCGCCUAGUCCUUGUUGGUGAUUCAUAAUAACCCGGCGAAUCGCACGGCUUGUCCGGCGAUGGACCAUUCAAGUUUCUGACCUAUCAGCUAUGGACGGUAGGGUAUUGGCC
This 565-nucleotide non-coding RNA is filed under the name Perkinsus marinus ATCC 50983. RNAcentral describes it as "Eukaryotic large subunit ribosomal RNA". It matches the Rfam family "Eukaryotic large subunit ribosomal RNA", at positions 1185 to 1742 of the family's 3401-position model. The record is from Rfam by way of RNAcentral. Lineage: Eukaryota; Perkinsozoa; Perkinsida; Perkinsidae.